Molecule: long non-coding RNA, 509 nt
Organism: Brienomyrus brachyistius
Lineage: Eukaryota; Metazoa; Chordata; Actinopteri; Osteoglossiformes; Mormyridae
Exons: 4
Source: RefSeq, a predicted model, not a curated record
CAACAAAAUCAAGCAACACCCCUUGGUUUUCCAGAUUUUUUUACGGAAGGCAAUAGCAGGCAGAUCAGAGAGCUCAGACAGGAGAAAGAAAAGGCGGUGUGAGGCAGAGCGGAGACAAAAUGUGCAAUUGACACCAGUGCGGACGUCGAUUUCAUAGCGUAAAGCCGUCCAUUCAGCCUGACUUGGGGGACUUCAGACCAAAGCAGUAGCCAGCCUCACAAAGGUCUUCGCACUUGAUGCAAGGUAGUCGCUGAAGAUAACUCCAUCCCCCGCCCCAAUUUACCCACGUCGCCUCACAGAGAAUGACCUCAGGACAGAUCGCCGACAAGAAAAAAUAUCCAGAAUACUUUUUGGUGGCAUUGUCAUGGUCAAGUAAGAAAUGGCUUCAGCUACCACAGCUGUUUGUGUAGUAUAAGCUGAAGCUCUUUCUCGCCAUUAAGUGUUUUCUUUCUUCUUUUGCAGUAUGAAAUAUAAAAUUUUUUUGGACUCGCUGGUGGAAAUUUUGCCGU